RNAcentral lists this ribosomal RNA (501 nucleotides) under uncultured bacterium. RNAcentral describes it as "partial 16S ribosomal RNA". It matches the Rfam family "Bacterial small subunit ribosomal RNA", at positions 30 to 523 of the family's 1533-position model. The record is from RNAcentral.
AUUGAACGCUGGCGGCAGGCCCAACACAUGCAAGUCGAGCGGAUGAGGGAAGCUUGCUUCCUGAUUUAGCGGCGGACGGGUGAGUAAUGCCUAGGAAUCUGCCUGUUAGUGGGGGAUAACGUUCCGAAAGGAACGCUAAUACCGCAUACGUCCUACGAGAGAAAGUGGGGGAUCUUCGGACCUCACGCUAACAGCUGAGCCUAGGUCGGAUUAGCUAGUAGGUGAGGUAAUGGCUCACCUAGGCUACGAUCUGUAACUGGUCUGAGAGGAUGAUCAGUCACACUGGAACUGAGACACGGUCCAGACUCCUACGGGAGGCAGCAGUGGGGAAUAUUGGACAAUGGGCGGAAGCCUGAUCCAGCCAUGCCGCGUGUGUGAAGAAGGCCUUUUGGUUGUAAAGCACUUUAAGCGAGGAGGAGGCUACUAGUACUAAUACUACUGGAUAGUGGACGUUACUCGCAGAAUAAGCACCGGCUAACUCCGUGCCAGCCGCCGCCGUAA